Molecule: ribosomal RNA, 378 nt
Filed under: uncultured eukaryote
Lineage: Eukaryota
Description: partial 18S ribosomal RNA
Rfam family: Eukaryotic small subunit ribosomal RNA
Source: RNAcentral
CAAUAGCGUAUAUUAAAGUUGUUGCAGUUAAAAAGCUCGUAGUUGGAUUUCGGGACGGGCCAGUUGGUCCGCCGCAAGGUGUGUUACUGACUGGUCUGUUCUUCUUCGCAAAGACUGCGUGUGCUCUUCGUUGAGUGUGCGUAGGAUUUACGACGUUUACUUUGAAAAAAUUAGAGUGUUCAAAGCAGGCUAUCGCUUGAAUACAUGAGCAUGGAAUAAUGGAAUAGGACUUUGGUCCUAUUUUGUUGGUUUCUAGGACCGAAGUAAUGAUUAAGAGGGACAAUUGGGGGCAUCCGUAUUUCGUUGUCAGAGGUGAAAUUCUUGGAUUUGCGAAAGACGAACAACUGCGAAAGCACUUGCCAAGAGUGUUUUCAUUAA